UGCGAUAGAGAAUCGUAAAGGAUGAGAACCGUAAAGGUUCGAGUCUCGCGCAGCGAGACAACAUCACUCCGGUGAUGGCCCGCAAGGCCGAGUUAUCCUGCACGACCCACCA
Molecule: small RNA, 112 nt
Filed under: Serratia marcescens
Lineage: Bacteria; Pseudomonadati; Pseudomonadota; Gammaproteobacteria; Enterobacterales; Yersiniaceae
Also listed under: 4 other names
Description: RtT sRNA
Rfam family: RtT RNA
About the family: This family represents a bacterial cis-regulatory element known as RtT RNA. The exact function of RtT is unknown although it is thought that it may be involved in changing the cellular response in relation to amino acid starvation.
Source: RNAcentral